Molecule: unclassified non-coding RNA, 1228 nt
Filed under: Hevea brasiliensis (rubber tree)
Lineage: Eukaryota; Viridiplantae; Streptophyta; Magnoliopsida; Malpighiales; Euphorbiaceae
Source: RNAcentral
CUCAACUGCUCAGCUUCCACAACCAUGGUGUCGGGUAAGUCUCUUUCUAGCUCUCUGCAAGUAACAAUCGAUAGAUAUGUAAUAAUUAUUAUUCUUUUUUCACAAUUGGCUCUGCGUACCUUCUGCAAAUAGUUACCGAUUCUUAUUCUUUUGCAGAUUUACAACAUGGUGCUGUCAUAUAUUUGGGCUAAUGAUAAAACUGUCCAAGCAGCUCUUCAUGUUCGAGAGGGAACCAUAAAGGGUUGGGAGAGAUGCAAUAGCAGCUUAAAUGCCACUAAUUACGCACAUGAUAUCACAUCCAGUGUUUCGUAUCAACAAAACCUUACCAAGAAAGGCUUUCAUGCUUUAAUUUACAGUGGUGAUCAUGACAUGGUUGUACCACAUGUGGGCACACAACAAUGGAUAAAGUAUCUAAAUUUAACCGUUAAAGAUGAUUGGCGUCCAUGGUUCGUCAAUAGUCAAAUUGCAGGGUUAGUUUUCAGAUUGAACUUUUGAUUAUGAUUUUGCAAAUUUACUUCCAUCUAAUUAUUGCAUUUCCAUGUUCUAUUUCAUGAUCAUUUGAAAUUAACUUUGUAAUCAAUUUUGCUGCAACUAUGUAACUAUGUAUUCGAAGAACAAGUACAUUUUGACGUAUGCAACUGUUAAGGGUGCAGGUCACACAGCUCCAGAAUACAAACCUGAACAAUGCCUUGCCAUGGUUGAUAGGUGGUUUGCAGAUUAUCUACUGUAGAAUAUAAACUUCUACAGAAAAGGAAAUUUUUUUAAUUAGAUAUUUUAUUUGUUUUAAUUUGUCAUUUUUAUUGUGAGGGUCCAUUUUUCUGUUUGGUUACGUGGUCAAUUUGCAUUGCCGUCUCAGGCUCAGCUCCUAAAGAAUGCAUUGUUUUCGAGUUUGACAGGCAUAACAAUCAAAUUUUAUUUGCAAACAAAGAUAAGUGCAUGCCUUCAUUUAGAUCACCAAAAACACGCUUCGAUUGAUUACAAAAGAGUGAUCAAUGUUUGACAUUUUUUUUUUUAUCGAAAGAGCAAGCCUUCUAAACCAUAAGAAGUACAUGUGUAGAUGGAAGAACCAGACCAUUAAAACACACAAAUUAUGACAAACAAAGAUGUUUUAUGGAGAUCAGAAAGCCAAGCCAGAAUCACUGAACUUCUGCUCAGUUAUUUGGUCAAUUCGAGCUGCCAUUUCAGCUGUCAAAUACUUUUUCCCAUCACCAACCUUACCUUUCCUGAA